This 105-nucleotide small nuclear RNA is filed under the name Pongo abelii (Sumatran orangutan). The record is from RNAcentral. Lineage: Eukaryota; Metazoa; Chordata; Mammalia; Primates; Hominidae.
GUACUUGCUUUGGCAGCACAAUACUAAAAUUGGAAAGAUACAGAGAAGAUUAGCAGGCCCCUGUGCAAGGAUGACACACAAAUUCAUGAAGUAUUUAUAUUAAAA